UACGUAGGGGGCAAGCGUUAUCCGGAUUUACUGGGUGUAAAGGGAGCGUAGGUGGUGCGGUAAGUCAGAUGUGAAAACCCGGGGCUCAACUCCGGGACUGCAUUUGAAACUAUCGAACUAGAGUGCAGGAGAGGUAAGUGGAAUUCCUAGUGUAGCGGUGAAAUGCGUAGAUAUUAGGAGGAACACCAGUGGCGAAGGCGGCUUACUGGACUGUAACUGACGCUGAGGCACGAAAGCGUGGGUAGCGAACAGG
RNAcentral lists this ribosomal RNA (253 nucleotides) under uncultured bacterium. RNAcentral's name for it is "partial 16S ribosomal RNA". It matches the Rfam family "Bacterial small subunit ribosomal RNA", at positions 524 to 776 of the family's 1533-position model. The record is from RNAcentral.